This is a long non-coding RNA of Brienomyrus brachyistius, 260 nucleotides long. RefSeq lists it as uncharacterized. The transcript has 3 exons. The record is from RefSeq and is a predicted model, not a curated record. Lineage: Eukaryota; Metazoa; Chordata; Actinopteri; Osteoglossiformes; Mormyridae.
ACACCAUGCAGGUUUGCUAAAGCAGCCCGCUAAUGUACACUGCCUGGGAUUGGUAAGGCAGCCUGCUAAUGUACACUGCCUGGGAUUGCUAAGGCAGCCUGCUAAUGUACACUGCCUGGGAUUGGUAAGGCAGCCUGCUAAUGUACACUGCCUGGGAUUGCUAAGGCAGCCUGCUAAUGUACACUGCCUGGGAUUGGUAAAGCAGCCUGCUAAUGUACACUGCCUGGGAUUGGUAAGGCAGCCUGCUAAUGUACACUGCC